CAGGAAGUAGAUGGCCUUCACAGGGUUAAACUGCCUCAUGGAUUCUGUCGCCUGGGCGCUCAGCCCCCUGCACCAUUCUGUUUUCUCAAGGUUCUUGGUAUGGAUGGCCGGCCGGCAGUGCUCCUCCGACAUGAAUAAAUGCUGCCUGCCACAGCUGGGUUCUGGCUCUCCCCGUUGAAAUGAGGAGCCUCCCAUUACUCAGUCAGCCAUACCCACUUCCUGCUUCAGAGCCUCCGUUUCGUGGAAAUAACCUGUCAGGUCCCAUCUGCUUCAUGAAGCUGCCAGUCCCCCGAGAGGAGGACCUCCACUCUGCUCUCCUGUCACAUGCUGGAAACCCAGAAGGGAAUAAACCUUCCAGUCUGCCAGAAAUUGCUUUUGUGAUACCAAGGCCUGCCUCGGGGAAGCACAAUAUUCUAUACUCAGAUGAAAAUUAGAUUUUUCUCACUCUGGAAGAGUUAUACCUACCUUUGAAGAUUCCCACAGUCUUGAAGGAUCAUUGCUUUGUUCCAGAAAGCAGUUUUCGUCUUUUUGUGACAAUACAUUUGGGAAAGGCUUCUGACUUCGCUGACAGAGUACUGGCUGAAUCUGAAUUUAAAUACACCCAGUAGAAUGGUGGAAACAAAUAGUAAUGCCCUUUUCUGAUGCAACAUUUACCCUAUCCAGCACAGGAGCUUGAGAUGACUUCUAACCCACAGAGAUUAUUUUUAUUUCAUUUUUAAAUAAAAAUGUUAUCAUG
Molecule: long non-coding RNA, 736 nt
Organism: Bubalus bubalis (water buffalo)
Lineage: Eukaryota; Metazoa; Chordata; Mammalia; Artiodactyla; Bovidae
Exons: 2
Source: RefSeq, a predicted model, not a curated record